This 253-nucleotide ribosomal RNA is filed under the name uncultured bacterium. Its description in RNAcentral is "partial 16S ribosomal RNA". It matches the Rfam family "Bacterial small subunit ribosomal RNA", at positions 524 to 776 of the family's 1533-position model. The record is from RNAcentral.
AACGUAGGAGGCGAGCGUUAUCCGGAUUUACUGGGCGUAAAGCGCAGGCAGGUGGUGGCUUAAGUCAUGCGUGAAAGCUCCUGGCUCAACUGGGAGAGGUCGUGUGAAACUGGGUCACUGGAGGCAGGUAGAGGCAGACGGAAUUCCGGGUGGAGUGGUGAAAUGCGUAGAGAUCCGGAGGAACACCAGUGGCGAAGGCGGUCUGCUGGACCUGACCUGACACUCAGAUGCGAAAGCAUGGGGAGCGAACGGG